RNAcentral lists this unclassified non-coding RNA (304 nucleotides) under plant metagenome. Its description in RNAcentral is "partial contains 5.8S ribosomal RNA, internal transcribed spacer 2, and large subunit ribosomal RNA". The stretch from base 1 to 104 matches the Rfam family "5.8S ribosomal RNA", at positions 51 to 154 of the family's 154-position model. The record is from RNAcentral.
AAAUGCGAUAAGUAAUGUGAAUUGCAGAAUUCGGUGAAUCAUCGAAUCUUUGAACGCACAUUGCGCCCGCCAGUAUUCUGGCGGGCAUGCCUGUUCGAGCGUCAUUUCAACCAUCAAGCCCCCGGCUUGUGUUGGGGACCUGCGGCUGCCCGCAGGCCCUGAAAAACAGUGGCGGGCUCGCUGUCACACCGAGCGUAGUAGCAUACAUUCUCGCUCAGGGCGUGCUGCGGGUUCCGGCCGUUAAACGACCUUCAUAACCCAAGGUUGACCUCGGAUCAGGUAGGAAGACCCGCUGAACUUAAGC